Molecule: long non-coding RNA, 379 nt
Filed under: Bos taurus (domestic cattle)
Lineage: Eukaryota; Metazoa; Chordata; Mammalia; Artiodactyla; Bovidae
Description: long non-coding RNA NONBTAT022141
Source: RNAcentral
GUUAAUCUGCAAACUCCACAGUGUAUUGUUAAUCUCUUGAGGAAAGUGACAAUCUAGUUAAAAGCUGGGGUAAUUGAUAUACAAAUGCAUGCACAUAUGCUUAUCUGAGUCAUAUAUCUUAUAUCUAUCUAUCUCACUACAUAGAUGAAGGCUGAUAAAAAUGUGCUUAUGAAAAGAUAAAAACUAGGCUUUACACAAUAAGCUUAAAGCAUAGUAGGAUGUGCUGUAACACUUUAAAAGAGUUAUGUUGGUGUUCUUCAGUAAUAUUUAAUGAGAUGGGAAAAAAAAUCAAACAGGAUCUUAAGCUAUACUUAGGAUUUCUAUGGGGGAAAAAUUGGGAAAAGCAUUUUAUAUGAGAUAUUCAUACUGAGUAGGUAGC